This 480-nucleotide ribosomal RNA is filed under the name uncultured bacterium. Its description in RNAcentral is "bacterial SSU rRNA". It matches the Rfam family "Bacterial small subunit ribosomal RNA", at positions 329 to 800 of the family's 1533-position model. The record is from RNAcentral.
GAGUGGACUCCUACGGGAGGCAGCAGUGGGGAAUAUUGCGCAAUGGGGGCAACCCUGACGCAGCCAUGCCGCGUGAAUGAAGAAGGCCUUCGGGUUGUAAAGUUCUUUCGGUGACGAGGAAGGCGUGAUGUUUAAUAGGCAUCACGAUUGACGUUAAUCACAGAAGAAGCACCGGCUAACUCCGUGCCAGCAGCCGCGGUAAUACGGAGGGUGCGAGCGUUAAUCGGAAUAACUGGGCGUAAAGGGCACGCAGGCGGCUAUUUAAGUGAGGUGUGAAAUCCCCGGGCUUAACCUGGGAAUUGCAUUUCAGACUGGGUAGCUAGAGUACUUUAGGGAGGGGUAGAAUUCCACGUGUAGCGGUGAAAUGCGUAGAGAUGUGGAGGAAUACCGAAGGCGAAGGCAGCCCCUUGGGAAUGUACUGACGCUCAUGUGCGAAAGCGUGGGGAGCAAACAGGAUUAGAUACCCUUGUAGUCCUGAGU